RNAcentral lists this unclassified non-coding RNA (321 nucleotides) under uncultured fungus. Its description in RNAcentral is "partial contains 5.8S ribosomal RNA and internal transcribed spacer 2". The stretch from base 1 to 133 matches the Rfam family "5.8S ribosomal RNA", at positions 22 to 154 of the family's 154-position model. Lineage: Eukaryota; Fungi. The record is from RNAcentral.
UGGUUCUGGCAUCGAUGAAGAACGCAGCAAAAUGCGAUAAGUAAUGUGAAUUGCAGAAUUCAGUGAAUCAUCGAAUCUUUGAACGCACAUUGCGCCCUUUGGUACUCCGAAGGGCAUGCCUGCUCGAGCGUCAUUUAAGCCCUCAAGCCUAGCUUGGUAUUAGGUGGGUGGUCCCCGUAGGACCCACCUGUAACUCGUCCUGGCGGUGCCAACCAGCUACAAGCGUAGCAAGGAUUACCCUCGCUUCCGAAGCUCUGGGCGGUGUCUGCCGGUAAAUACAAUCUAAAGUUUGACCUCGGAUCAGGUAGGGAUACCCGCUGA